This 2815-nucleotide ribosomal RNA is filed under the name Klebsiella pneumoniae. Its description in RNAcentral is "bacterial LSU rRNA". It matches the Rfam family "Bacterial large subunit ribosomal RNA". The record is from RNAcentral. Lineage: Bacteria; Pseudomonadati; Pseudomonadota; Gammaproteobacteria; Enterobacterales; Enterobacteriaceae.
GUGAUAUGAACCGUUAUAACCGGCGAUGUCCGAAUGGGGAAACCCAGUGUGAUUCGUCACACUAUCGUUAACUGAAUACAUAGGUUAACGAGGCGAACCGGGGGAACUGAAACAUCUAAGUACCCCGAGGAAAAGAAAUCAACCGAGAUUCCCCCAGUAGCGGCGAGCGAACGGGGAGCAGCCCAGAGUCUGAAUCAGCUUGUGUGUUAGUGGAACGGUCUGGAAAGUCCGACGGUACAGGGUGAUAGUCCCGUACACCAAAAUGCACAGGCUGUGAACUCGAAGAGUAGGGCGGGACACGUGGUAUCCUGUCUGAAUAUGGGGGGACCAUCCUCCAAGGCUAAAUACUCCUGACUGACCGAUAGUGAACCAGUACCGUGAGGGAAAGGCGAAAAGAACCCCGGCGAGGGGAGUGAAAAAGAACCUGAAACCGUGUACGUACAAGCAGUGGGAGCACCUUCGGGUGUGACUGCGUACCUUUUGUAUAAUGGGUCAGCGACUUAUAUUCUGUAGCAAGGUUAACCGUAUAGGGGAGCCGCAGGGAAACCGAGUCUUAACUGGGCGUUAAGUUGCAGGGUAUAGACCCGAAACCCGGUGAUCUAGCCAUGGGCAGGUUGAAGGUUGGGUAACACUAACUGGAGGACCGAACCGACUAAUGUUGAAAAAUUAGCGGAUGACUUGUGGCUGGGGGUGAAAGGCCAAUCAAACCGGGAGAUAGCUGGUUCUCCCCGAAAGCUAUUUAGGUAGCGCCUCGUGAACUCAUCUUCGGGGGUAGAGCACUGUUUCGGCUAGGGGGUCAUCCCGACUUACCAACCCGAUGCAAACUACGAAUACCGAAGAAUGUUAUCACGGGAGACACACGGCGGGUGCUAACGUCCGUCGUGAAGAGGGAAACAACCCAGACCGCCAGCUAAGGUCCCAAAGUCAUGGUUAAGUGGGAAACGAUGUGGGAAGGCACAGACAGCCAGGAUGUUGGCUUAGAAGCAGCCAUCAUUUAAAGAAAGCGUAAUAGCUCACUGGUCGAGUCGGCCUGCGCGGAAGAUGUAACGGGGCUAAACCAUGCACCGAAGCUGCGGCAGCGACACUAUGUGUUGUUGGGUAGGGGAGCGUUCUGUAAGCCUGCGAAGGUGUGCUGUGAGGCAUGCUGGAGGUAUCAGAAGUGCGAAUGCUGACAUAAGUAACGAUAAAGCGGGUGAAAAGCCCGCUCGCCGGAAGACCAAGGGUUCCUGUCCAACGUUAAUCGGGGCAGGGUGAGUCGACCCCUAAGGCGAGGCCGAAAGGCGUAGUCGAUGGGAAACAGGUUAAUAUUCCUGUACUUGGUGUUACUGCGAAGGGGGGACGGAGAAGGCUAUGUUAGCCGGGCGACGGUUGUCCCGGUUUAAGCAUGUAGGCUGAUUGUCCAGGCAAAUCCGGAUAAUCAAGGCUGAGGUGUGAUGACGAGGCACUACGGUGCUGAAGUAACAAAUGCCCUGCUUCCAGGAAAAGCCUCUAAGCAUCAGGUAACAUUAAAUCGUACCCCAAACCGACACAGGUGGUCAGGUAGAGAAUACCAAGGCGCUUGAGAGAACUCGGGUGAAGGAACUAGGCAAAAUGGUGCCGUAACUUCGGGAGAAGGCACGCUGGUGUGUAGGUGAAGUCCCUGCGGAUGGAGCUGAGACCAGUCGAAGAUACCAGCUGGCUGCAACUGUUUAUUAAAAACACAGCACUGUGCAAACACGAAAGUGGACGUAUACGGUGUGACGCCUGCCCGGUGCCGGAAGGUUAAUUGAUGGGGUUAUCCGUAAGGAGAAGCUCUUGAUCGAAGCCCCGGUAAACGGCGGCCGUAACUAUAACGGUCCUAAGGUAGCGAAAUUCCUUGUCGGGUAAGUUCCGACCUGCACGAAUGGCGUAAUGAUGGCCAGGCUGUCUCCACCCGAGACUCAGUGAAAUUGAACUCGCUGUGAAGAUGCAGUGUACCCGCGGCAAGACGGAAAGACCCCGUGAACCUUUACUAUAGCUUGACACUGAACAUUGAGCCUUGAUGUGUAGGAUAGGUGGGAGGCUUUGAAGCGUGGACGCCAGUCUGCGUGGAGCCAACCUUGAAAUACCACCCUUUAAUGUUUGAUGUUCUAACGUUGGCCCCUGACCGGGGUUGCGGACAGUGUCUGGUGGGUAGUUUGACUGGGGCGGUCUCCUCCCAAAGCGUAACGGAGGAGCACGAAGGUUAGCUAAUCCUGGUCGGACAUCAGGAGGUUAGUGCAAUGGCAUAAGCUAGCUUGACUGCGAGCGUGACGGCGCGAGCAGGUGCGAAAGCAGGUCAUAGUGAUCCGGUGGUUCUGAAUGGAAGGGCCAUCGCUCAACGGAUAAAAGGUACUCCGGGGAUAACAGGCUGAUACCGCCCAAGAGUUCAUAUCGACGGCGGUGUUUGGCACCUCGAUGUCGGCUCAUCACAUCCUGGGGCUGAAGUAGGUCCCAAGGGUAUGGCUGUUCGCCAUUUAAAGUGGUACGCGAGCUGGGUUUAGAACGUCGUGAGACAGUUCGGUCCCUAUCUGCCGUGGGCGCUGGAGAAUUGAGGGGGGCUGCUCCUAGUACGAGAGGACCGGAGUGGACGCAUCACUGGUGUUCGGGUUGUCAUGCCAAUGGCACUGCCCGGUAGCUAAAUGCGGAAGAGAUAAGUGCUGAAAGCAUCUAAGCACGAAACUUGCCCCGAGAUGAGUUCUCCCUGAGACUUUAAGUCUCCUGAAGGAACGUUGAAGACGACGACGUUGAUAGGCCGGGUGUGUAAGCGCAGCGAUGCGUUGAGCUAACCGGUACUAAUGAACCGUGAGGCUUAACC